GGGGAUGUGGCUCAAGCGGUAGCGCGCUCACUUGGCGUGCGUGCAUCCUGGGUUCGAUCCUCAGCACCACA
This 71-nucleotide transfer RNA is filed under the name Marmota monax (woodchuck). Its description in RNAcentral is "tRNA.Ala". The record is from RNAcentral. Lineage: Eukaryota; Metazoa; Chordata; Mammalia; Rodentia; Sciuridae.